Molecule: ribosomal RNA, 255 nt
Filed under: uncultured bacterium
Lineage: Bacteria
Description: partial 16S ribosomal RNA
Rfam family: Bacterial small subunit ribosomal RNA
Source: RNAcentral
UACGAAGGGGGCUAGCGUUGCUCGGAAUGACUGGGCGUAAAGGGCGCGUAGGCGGAUGACACAGUCAGAUGUGAAAUUCCCGGGCUUAACCUGGGGGCUGCAUUUGAUACGUGUUGUCUAGAGUGAGGAAGAGGGUUGUGGAAUUCCCAGUGUAGAGGUGAAAUUCGUAGAUAUUGGGAAGAACACCGGUGGCGAAGGCGGCAACCUGGUCCUUGACUGACGCUGAGGCGCGAAAAGCGUGGGGGAGCAAACAGG